CAGUAGCCGCGGGAAUACGUAGGGUGCAAGCGUUAAUCGGAAUUACUGGGCGUAAAGCGUGCGCAGGCGGUUCGCUAAGACAGAUGUGAAAUCCCCGGGCUUAACCUGGGAACUGCAUUUGUGACUGGCGGGCUAGAGUAUGGCAGAGGGGGGUAGAAUUCCACGUGUAGCAGUGAAAUGCGUAGAUAUGCGGAGGAACACCGAUGGCGAAGGCAAUCCCCUGGGCCUGCACUGACGCUCAUGCACGAAAGCGUGGGGAGCAAACAGGAUUAGAUACCCGCGUAGUCCCUGUCUCUUAUAC
RNAcentral lists this ribosomal RNA (301 nucleotides) under uncultured bacterium. RNAcentral describes it as "partial 16S ribosomal RNA". It matches the Rfam family "Bacterial small subunit ribosomal RNA", at positions 509 to 807 of the family's 1533-position model. The record is from RNAcentral.